This 446-nucleotide ribosomal RNA is filed under the name uncultured bacterium. RNAcentral describes it as "SSU rRNA". It matches the Rfam family "Bacterial small subunit ribosomal RNA", at positions 26 to 518 of the family's 1533-position model. The record is from RNAcentral.
AGAGCGAACGCUGGCGGCAGGCCUAACACAUGCAAGUCGAGCGCCGUAGCAAUACGGAGCGGCAGACGGGAGAGUAACACGUGGGAACGUGCCCUUCAGUUCGGAACAACCCAGGGAAACUUGGGCUAAAUACCGGAUACGUCCGUAAGGAGAAAGAUUUAUCGCUGAAGGAUCGGCCCGCGUCUGAUUAGCUAGUUGGUGAGGUAACGGCUCACCAAGGCGACGAUCAGUAGCUGGUCUGAGAGGAUGAUCAGCCUCACUGGGACUGAGACACGGCCCAGACUCCUACGGGAGGCAGCAGUGGGGAAUAUUGGACAAUGGGCGCAAGCCUGAUCCAGCCAUGCCGCGUGGGUGAUGAAGGCCCUAGGGUUGUAAAGCCCUUUCGGCGGGAAGAUAAUGACGGUACCCGCAGAAGAAGCCCCGGCUAACUUCGCGCCAGCAGCCGC